Molecule: long non-coding RNA, 5935 nt
Organism: Manis javanica (Malayan pangolin)
Lineage: Eukaryota; Metazoa; Chordata; Mammalia; Pholidota; Manidae
Source: RefSeq, a predicted model, not a curated record
ACGCACGCGAGUGGGCGUGGCUGCGCCUGGCCGUUGACAGCGCGUCCCUAAGCGUGCGCAAAGCAGCUCCUCUGAGGGGACGCGGCCAGACGCGCAUCUCAUCGGUUAUAUGAGUCUCGCAUCUCAUCUACUGCGACACGUAACUAGAGGACGGAUGCGCACCGCUGGCUGGUUGUUUUCGGAGAAGCCGUAGGAGUUCUCACCGCUCCUGGGACCCCGCAGUGAGUGAGCCAGAAUGCCUUUUCCCUAGGAUCAUGUCUCUGAGGCGACAAACAAUGAAGCCAUCAGACAAGAGUAUGGAGGAAUCAGCAAAGCUCUUUUAAUCACUGAAAAGAGAAAGCAAGAGCUCCUGCUGGCCAGGAGGGACUCCAAGAGAGAUGGCCAUCAGGGCUGCCCUGUCUGGGGUUUAUAUUGCCUCUUGAAAGGAGGCAGUCUCACUCACCAACCAGAUAGUGAACUGAAUUAAUGACAUCACAACUCACUCCUGAUUGGCUGAAUGUAUAAUACUUCAUCUGCAUAGAGCAGCUAAGGUCUAUGUACCUUUGUAUGGCUGAGCUUUAUUUGCAUAGGGCACAACCAGUCACAGCAGCUGAGGUCUAUCUAAGUGGCUGAGUUUGAUUGGGGCUUUUUACAAGGGUCCUGAACUUCAUCUGCCUGUGACCCGGCACUACCUGCCUCACAUUCUUUUCCUUACUUCAUGUUUAAUUUUCCUCUCCCCCUUUGCUUAAGAUAGAAACUAUGGUCAUUGAUUUGAGACCAUUCUUUUCUAAUAUGGGCAUCUAAUGCUACAAUUCUUCUCUAAACACUGCUUUAAUUUCAUCUCAGAAAUUUCGGUUGUGUUUUCUCUCUGUUCAAAAUAUUUUACAUUUCCCUUUUCAUUUCACCUUGAAUCCAUGGGUUAUUUAGAAGUGUGUAUUCAAUUUCUAAGUAUUUGGGGAUGUUUGCAGAUCAUCUCUGGUAUUGGUUUUUAAAAAAAUUCCAUUGUGGGAGUACAUACUGUCUAAUUUGAAAAGUUUAAAUUUGGUGAUUUGUGUGUAUGUAUGGUUUAUGUUUUAAUGCAGAGUAUAUUCUAUCUUGAGAAAUCUUGUCUGUGCUGUAUAUUCUUGUGUUGCUUUGUGGGUAUUGUGUAAAUGCUAAUUAUGUCAAAUUAGUUGGUAGUGUGUUCAUGUCUUCUGUGUUGUUAAUGAUUUUUUUGUCUAUCUGUUCUAUCAAUUAAUGAGAGAGGGCUAUUGAAAUCUUUGACUUUAAUUGUGAAUUUGUUCUUUUCUCUCUGGAGUGCUGUUUUUCUUUCAUGUACUUUGAAAUUCUAUUAGGUGCAUAAGUGCUUAUGAGUCUUACAUCUUAUUGAUUAAUUGACCUCUUUUUAUUUACAAAAUGACCCUCAGUCCCACAUAAUCUUUUUUUCCUCUGAAAUUCACUUUGGUAUUAAUGUAGGUACUUAAGCUUUCUUUUUUCUUUUUGUUCCUCAGGCUGGAUAAUUUUGUUUAACACAUCUUCAAGUUCACUGAUUCUUUCUCCAGCAUGCCCAAAUCUGCAAUUAAACUCCUCUAGUAAAUUAUUCAUUUCAGUUAUUAUACAUUCUAGUAGCAAAAUUUCUAUUUGGUUCCUUUUUGUAAUUUCUAUCUCUUUAUUGAUGUUCUCUAUUUGUUGAGGUAUCCGUUUCCUAUUUUCCUUUAGUUCUUUGCUCAUAGUUUCCUUUAGCUCUUUGAAUAUGUUUAAUGCCAUUGAUUUAAAAUAUUGUCUAGUAAGUGCAGUGUCUGUACUUAAUUAGGAGAAUUUCUGUUAAUUUCCCCAAUAGAUAACAUGUUAUUACUGCUAUUAUUUGUAUCUUGUCAGUCUACCUUUAACAGUGCUUAUAGAUGCACCUCAUUCCUUUUAACUGUGGCAUAGUAUUUCUUUAAAUGGAGAUUCAGCAGUUUUUUAUUGAUUUCUGAAUAUUUGUUUCCUGUUUUUUAUUAUUAUAAGCAGUGCUGCCAUGAACACCUUUGUAUAUGCCUGUUGUGCAAAUUUUCAGGUGAUUCUCUGGAGUAUAUAGCCUGAGAUAGGAUUUUUUGGGUCUGACUGUUAACAUUUUUAAAAAAUAUAUAUUUAUUUAAAAUGUUUAAUGAAUAAAAUUUUUGAAUAGGAAGUAAAUGCACAUUGUAAAAAACAAUGAAAAUUUGUGUAAUGAAAAGUCUUUUUUAGUCUGGAACCGUUCCUCAGUUGAUGCUUGACUGUGUUAAGUAUUAAGUAUUGCAAUCAUUUUGUAGUAUGUCUUUCAAUUUGGGUUUAUCAUAUGUUUCCUAUGUUUAGUUUUAGGUUAUAUGUCUGUGGUAGGAAUAGCAUACAAAUGAGACUGACUUCUUAUUUCAUCCUGUAAAGUGAUGCAUGCUUUUUAUUAAUCCCAUUACUGGUGAUGUUCAAUUUAAUCAUGUGGUUAAGUUAUUGUCUGCCAGCUUUUUAUACUUGUUUUUUUGUAAUUACUAUUUUGUGGAGAGGUACUUUGAGACUGUUUAUAUCUUUCUAUUCAUCAAACUUUUCAUUCAUUCAUUCAUUUAUAUUCAUAUGUGCUCAUGGUUUUCAUUUUAUUUAGUUAAUUAUAGUUUGUUACUAUCAAUAUUUAUUUUGAUGUUCAUAUUGUCAUAGGUUUGGACAGUGGGAGCCCCUUAAAACCAGCUUCUGGAUCUUUCUGAUAUAUCUCCAUCAUUCUUUGAACAUUUUAUUUUCCCAUACACCAACAUCUAUCAAGACUAUCUUGUAUGUUCCCUGCAGCAGUCCUCAAAGCAGCCAUUUGCUGGUUGCAUUUGCUGGUGUAUGUUAUUUAGAAGUCAAUAUGUGGGUGCUUAGUAUGAGAAGUGUGUAUGCCUUCUCUUUGGACAAAGCUGUAUAUAUACAUGUAUAAUAUGUAUCUGUUUAUUCUGUAUCUAUAUACAUUGAAAACUAUGAGUUCACACUAAUAUCUCCCAAUUCCAAUCAAACACCCAACACUGCAGGGCUAAUUUUAGUUUUUUCCCUGUCCAUAUGUGUAACUCCUUUCUCCAAUAGUGAGAAAUCUGGCUCCUAUUCUGUUUUUUUAAAGAAAGAUUUAAUUGACAUAUAACAAGACUCCUUUUAUUCUUAAAACAGGGUAUGGGAUGUUUGGUAGGCCAAUAUUAAUUCUUACCCUCUCUGGCUUGGAGUAUACUAGGGUCAAUGAUCAUGCAACAUGAAAGCAUGUAUGACCAUGUUUUAUUUGAAAGUUCAAUCUGCAUGUAUCCUCUUAGAAAAUAUCAAAUGAAAUAGAAUCACUAAUUUCACAUUUGUAGGUAUUUGUACGGUGUUAUCACUGCCAAGAGAAGCAGAAUCUUUGUUAGGAGAUAUAUGGUUGUGCUUCAAAUGAGGGAAAUUAGUUAUUUGACUUGAAACUGAUUUUUAUUUAAAAAGUCAUCAUGACUUUAGACCUUUAAUGGCAAUAAAAGCAACUGAUUCCAACUCACAAUUAUGAGCAACUCUUUUUGAGUUUAUUUUAAGCAUUUAUUUAAGGUUUUUUUGUCUUUAGUUGUAAAAUGUGUUUGAUAAUUUUCUAAGCUGCCAGCUACCAUUUUACUUUCAUGAUUUAUGGUUAACAUUAAAAUCAGAUAUAAAGUGUUAUACUUUUUUCAUAUUUACAGGUUUUUAAAUUAAGGAAUAUGUAAUUAAAGGUGAUAUGUGAUUCAUUAAUGAUAAUAUAUUUCUUCUUAACAAUUUAAAGUAUCUUAAAGGUAGUAGCAACCAUUCUUUUUCAGGUCUUUAGCUUGAGGUCACUUCUCUAUCCACACAUUUCCUUUUUCAUGUCUUUAAAUUUAUUUAUGUGCUGACUAGGCUGUAUUUCUCUACUUCUAUAUCUAUUUAGAUUUCAAAUAAGAAGCUUAAACUUACCAUGUACAAAACAAAACCCUCGUUUUUUGUAAAAACCAAACUAAUCUCACAUUUUUUCUCUCUAUCUCAGUAAAUAGAAAACAUUCUUCAAUUUUCUGAGGUCAAAAAGUUAGAGUCAGCUUUUUGACUACUUUCUCACUCUCAUGCUGCAUAAUUAGUCCAUCAUUAAAUUCUUUGUAGUAUAUUGAGGAUCUGUGCAAUUCUCUUUACUUCCUCCUCCAUCAUAGUGGUUCAGGCCACCAUCAGUUAUGCCUGAAUUCCUGUAGGAGCCUCCCAAUUGUCUUGCUGCUACCAUGUUUGCCUUACAUGUUUGUCUUCUGUACCUUGAAGCCAGAUUAAAUAUAAAAAAAAAUAUCAUUUCACAUCUCUUCUCAAAACUUCUAACAGUUUUGCUUUUUAACUCAGAAAAAAGCCAAUUGCCUCUGUGUACCUUCCUUAUGAUCUGACUUCCCUCUAUUUCUGUGGUCUCAUCUCCAGCAUUCUCCCCUUUGCUUACUCUACUCAUACUAAUGGCCUUCUUCCUGUUCUUUCAAUGUAUUAAGCAUUGCCUAAGCAAAAAUCAGGGCCUUUGCAUUUAUUGGUCUUUCAGCCUGGAAUGCUCUUUACCCUGAUAUUUGCUUAGCUUAAGUCCUUCAAUUCUUUUUUCAGGUUUCUCUUCAAAUAGCACCUUAGAGAAAGCUUUCCUGAUUGCAUUAAGUAAAAUAACACUUACCUCUUCACGCUGGCUCCCUCGUCCUGUUUAAUCCUUUUCCAUUAGCACUUGUCGCCAUCGAACAUAUUUUAUAUAUAACUUAUAUGUGAUAUAUAUGUGUGUGUAUUGUGUGUGUGUGUGUGUGUGUGUGUGUGUAUAGUUGACUUAUGGCCCCACUAGACUAUAAUGUCUGGAAUCAGGGACUUUGAUUUCUUGCCCUGUUUUGGAACAGUGGCUGGAAUGUAAUUGGUGUUCUAUUAAUAUUUGUGGAAUAAAUAAAUAACGCUUUAUGAGAGAAAGAAUAUUUUGUUCAGAUUCUAAAAGUCAGGAUAUUUCCUAAUGCUUCCUUUUACUCUCUUUGCCUAGCUCCAUUCCUGAUGAAAGCAGAGGCAAAUUUGUGGGGAGUGGGGAGUUGGUUGGGGAAGAAAAUGCAAGGUGGGAAAAUAGGGGAAAAGAAAAACCAUACCCUUCUCCUCUGCUCUAGGUCUCCCAGACUGAAAGCCCUUCCAAUUUGGCAGGGGGAAGAAGCUUUAACUUUAAGUAAAGUUAUUGUUUUGAUUAAUAAACUGGGCUGGACAUUUCACUUAGUGAGCUAGAUUAUUCUUGGCAUUACAAGUGAUUUAAAAGAAGAGUGUCCAAGAAAAACAUGGGAUCUCCCCUCACCCAACAGUUCCUUCAAAGGGCAAGAGAAAAGUGAAUCCUCAGAUUGGUUAUAAAGGGCCUGUAAGGGAAACAAAUGAAGUGUUUUUUGUUUUGUUUUGUUUUUUUCAUGCAUCAUUCAACCUAAUAGUUACCUUUCUAUUGUGGUCUUUAUCAUAACACUUAGUAGUCUAUUGUUUAUGUGUCUGGCUCCUUUACCAGACUAUUAGCUCCAGAAGAGAGGGCUAGUGUUUUAUUAAUCCUGCUUAUCUAAGACCUGUCAUGGUGCAUGACACAUAGCAACCAUUUAGUGUUUGUUGAAUAAUCUUCCUCCCCCAUCUCUAUUCAAGGAUUACUUGAGUACCAAAAAUACCUUGAGUUUCAAAUUCAAUGUUUGGUGAUAAAAAGGAGGCUGUUUGCUUAGCUAUUUAGAGAUUACACUCUAUUCCAGGAUUUAGAUCCAUUUGCCUUGAUGAAAAUUUAACAUUACUCUGUUCUAACGGAAAAAACACUUCUGAGGUCCUGUAUCACAGGGAUGAUUUUAUUCUUUCCUUCUUGCUCAAGCUUUCAGCCACCUCAUCUGUCUCCCCUGUUGCAGCAGAGCAUGAGUGUGGCUUUCAUGGAGCCCAGGGUUUAUAAUAAAUGCUAAGAAUAAUCCCCUUCUCUCCACAUCUGGUAUUGCUGUGAUUCCUCUUUAAAGGCAAAACCUGAGUCCUUAUUAUUUACAAA